Cyprinus carpio (common carp) is the source of this 1048-nucleotide long non-coding RNA. NCBI's taxonomy places the organism in Eukaryota, Metazoa, Chordata, Actinopteri, Cypriniformes, Cyprinidae. The record is from Ensembl.
CUGUUUGUCUCUCUCACACACACACACACACACACACACACACACACACACACACACACACACACACACACACACACACACACACACACACACACACACUCACACACACACACACUCUCUCUCUCACACACACACACACACACACACACUCACUCACUCUCACACACACACACACACACAGAAACACACACUCACUCACACACACACACACACACUCACACUCACUCUCUCUCACGCACACACUCUCUCUCUCUCACACACACACACACUAAACCAUUCUAUUGCACUAGUGGUGUAUUCUAAAUGUUAAAAGUUUUUAUAUUUGAUAUGACAUGUAAAGUUAAUAUAUUUUAAAUAUACUAAAAUGUUUCAUUAUUAAAAAUCAGUCUGUGUGUGUGUUUCUGUUUGUGUAUCUGUGUCNCACACACACACACACACACACACACUCACUCUCACACACACACAUGCAUGCACGCAUGCACUCAUACACACACACCCACACUCACACACACACACACACUCACACACAUAUACACACUCACUCACUCACACACACACUCACUCUCUCUCUCACACACACACACUCUCUCUCUCACACACACACUCACACACUAAACCACUGUAUUGCACGUUGUCUAAUUUUCUAGAUGUUUGAUAUGACAUUUAAAGUUAAUAUAUUUUAAAUAUACUAAAAUGUUUCAUCAUUAAAAAUCAGUGUGUGUGUGUGUAUCUCUGUGUAUCUGUGUGUGUGUGUGUGUGUGUAUCUCUGUGUAUCUCUCUCUGUGUGUGUGUGUGUGUGUGUCUCUGUGGGUGUGUGUGUGUGGGUGUGAGUGUGUGUGGGUGUGUGUGUAUGAGUGCAUGCGUGCAUGCAUGUGUGUGUGUGUGUUCAGCUGGUGUUCCUCUGCUGUUCCUCACAGCUCCUCCCGGUACGGUUCAGAUUCCCGUCUCGGCGGUGCAGCUUCAUCCAGUACGGCGAGAUCAACACUUCACAAAAACAGGUUUCCAUAGUGACAUUAUCUUAACAACGUCAGACUUCUGUGCGGUGUAA